CGCUGGCGGCGCGCCUAACACAUGCAAGUCGAACGGAGCUUAGAGAGCUUGCUUUUUAAGCUAGUGGCGAACGGGUGAGUAACGCGUGAGUAACCUGGCCCCUAGAGUGGGGGACAACAGUUGGAAACGACUGCUAAUACCGCAUAAGCCCACGGUACCGCAUGGCACUGAGGGAAAAGGAUUUAUUCGCUUUAGGAUGGACUCGCGUCCAAUUAGCUAGUUGGUGAGGUUAAACGGGCCCACCAAGGCGACGAUCAGUAGCCGGUCUGAGAGGGUGAACGGCCACAUUGGGACUGAGACACGGCCCAAACUCCUACGGGAGGCAGCAGUGGGGAAUAUUGCACAAUGGGGGAAACCCUGAUGCAGCGACGCCGCGUGAGUGAUGAAGUAUUUCGGUAUGUAAAACUCUAUCAGCAGGGAAGAUAAUGACGGUACCUGACUAAGAAGCACCGGCUAAAUACGUG
RNAcentral lists this ribosomal RNA (464 nucleotides) under uncultured bacterium. RNAcentral describes it as "bacterial SSU rRNA". It matches the Rfam family "Bacterial small subunit ribosomal RNA", at positions 34 to 507 of the family's 1533-position model. The record is from RNAcentral.